GACGAACGCUGGCGGCGUGCUUAACACAUGCAAGUCGAGCGGUAAGGCCCUUUCGGGGGUACACGAGCGGCGAACGGGUGAGUAACACGUGGGUGACCUGCCCUCAGCUCUGGGAUAAGCCUGGGAAACCGGGUCUAAUACUGGAUAUGACUCCAUGACGCAUGUUGUGGGGUGGAAAGCCUUGUGCGGCUGAGGAUGGGCCCGCGGCCUAUCAGCUUGUUGGUGGGGUGAGGCCUACCAAGGCGACGACGGGUAGCCGGCCUGAGAGGGCGACCGGCCACACUGGGACUGAGACACGGCCCAGACUCCUACGGGAGGCAGCAGUGGGGAAUCUUGCGCAAUGGGCGAAAGCCUGACGCAGCCGACGCCGCGUGAGGGAUGA
Molecule: ribosomal RNA, 382 nt
Filed under: uncultured bacterium
Lineage: Bacteria
Description: bacterial SSU rRNA
Rfam family: Bacterial small subunit ribosomal RNA
Source: RNAcentral